Long non-coding RNA from Notothenia coriiceps (black rockcod), 225 nucleotides. RefSeq lists it as uncharacterized. NCBI's taxonomy places the organism in Eukaryota, Metazoa, Chordata, Actinopteri, Perciformes, Nototheniidae. The transcript is spliced from 3 exons. The record is from RefSeq and is a predicted model, not a curated record.
GGACCUGAAGAAUAAUUUGAUCAGUACGGUGGAGCCCGGGGCCUUCAGAGGUCUGCAUGCUCUGAGGAGACUGGAUCUGUCUAACAACAGGAUCGGCUGUGUCUCGCCUGAAAUGUUUCUCGAUUUGGGCAGCGUUUCAAAAUUGAAUCUAUCUGGGAACAUCUUCUCCACACUGACUGUGGGAAUCUUCACGCACCUUGUGGCUCUCAAAGUGCUGUAAGGACA